RNAcentral lists this microRNA precursor (98 nucleotides) under Pongo abelii (Sumatran orangutan). RNAcentral's name for it is "mir-544 microRNA precursor family". It matches the Rfam family "mir-544 microRNA precursor family". Lineage: Eukaryota; Metazoa; Chordata; Mammalia; Primates; Hominidae. The record is from Rfam by way of RNAcentral.
ACCACCCAGGGAUCUUGUUAAAAUGAAGAUCCUGGUUCAGGUGAUCUGGAGUGGGACCUGAGAUUUUGCAUUUGUAACAAGCUCCCAGGUGAGGCUGA